GAUGAACGCUGACGGCGUGCCUAAUACAUGCAAGUCGAGCGAACGGACGAGAAGCUUGCUUCUCUGAUGUUAGCGGCGGACGGGUGAGUAACACGUGGAUAACCUACCUAUAAGACUGGGAUAACUUCGGGAAACCGGAGCUAAUACCGGAUAAUAUUUCGAACCGCAUGGUUCAAAAGUGAAAGACGGUCUUGCUGUCACUUAUAGAUGGAUCCGCGCUGCAUUAGCUAGUUGGUAAGGUAACGGCUUACCAAGGCAACGAUGCAUAGCCGACCUGAGAGGGUGAUCGGCCACACUGGAACUGAGACACGGUCCAGACUCCUACGGGAGGCAGCAGUAGGGAAUCUUCCGCAAUGGGCGAAAGCCUGACGGAGCAACGCCGCGUGAGUGAUGAAGGUCUUCGGAUCGUAAAACUCUGUUAUUAGGGAAGAACAUAUGUGUAAGUAACUGUGCACAUCUUGACGGUACCUAAUCAGAAAGCCACGGCUAACUACGUG
Molecule: ribosomal RNA, 497 nt
Filed under: uncultured bacterium
Lineage: Bacteria
Description: partial 16S ribosomal RNA
Rfam family: Bacterial small subunit ribosomal RNA
Source: RNAcentral